This 349-nucleotide ribosomal RNA is filed under the name Bifidobacterium catenulatum. Its description in RNAcentral is "bacterial SSU rRNA". It matches the Rfam family "Bacterial small subunit ribosomal RNA", at positions 324 to 683 of the family's 1533-position model. The record is from RNAcentral. Lineage: Bacteria; Bacillati; Actinomycetota; Actinomycetes; Bifidobacteriales; Bifidobacteriaceae.
AUACGGCCCAAACUCCUACGGGAGGCAGCAGUGGGGAAUAUUGCACAAUGGGCGCAAGCCUGAUGCAGCGACGCCGCGUGCGGGAUGACGGCCUUCGGGUUGUAAACCGCUUUUGAUCGGGAGCAAGCCUUCGGGUGAGUGUACCUUUCGAAUAAGCACCGGCUAACUACGUGCCAGCAGCCGCGGUAAUACGUAGGGUGCAAGCGUUAUCCGGAAUUAUUGGGCGUAAAGGGCUCGUAGGCGGUUCGUCGCGUCCGGUGUGAAAGUCCAUCGCUUAACGGUGGAUCUGCGCCGGGUACGGGCGGGCUGGAGUGCGGUAGGGGAGACUGGAAUUCCCGGUGUAACGGUG